GGCCUGCUUGGGACAGAAAAGGUGCCCUCUAGUGGCAGCCGUCGUAGCAUAAGCUCCUCCCGCUUGGAGCAGCCGGUUGAGAAACGGGGAGCUCACACCAAAUUGAAAGGCCUUCCCUCACCGAGCUCCCGGGCCCAGAGUACGGAGCGGGGCCGGGAGGAACUACAGGCCCUCAGAACCGAGGUUUUGACGUUGCGGCGGCGCCUGGAUGCUUCGGAGAGCCAACGCAAAACCCUCCUUGAGGCUUGCUGGCAGCAAGAGAAAAGCCGGGCCUGGGCUCAGGAGAGGCAGUUGGGUUCAAUGGUGGGAGCGGCGGCCUGGCAAAAGACAAAGGGCUCCCCAGAGAUCCAUGGGGUUUGCCAGGCCCCCAGGAGCAAAGGACAGGCCUCGGUGAUGGCGGCUGGUGGGGAAGUCUCUGUGGCAGAAGAAGUUGAAGAAGAUGGAGGGGCGGUUGAACCCAAGGCUGUGGCAGAUCCGGGGAAGGAGCUGACCUCGGACGUAGAGACGUCUGAAACAGGAGAAGAUGCGCCAGCCACACGGCAGGCCCACGGGGAGACUGAGGCAGAGGGCCAAGGAGGCAGGACCCCUGACCCGGAGGGGAACGUGGAAGGUUUGCAGGAGGACCUCCUGGACUUGGCCUCUGGCAAGGCCCAAGCCGAAGCCCAAGCCAUCUUGGCCCAGGAAAAGCUCCAGGUCCUGCAGGCCACGCUGGGGAGGCAGACGGAGCGGUUGGCACGAGCCAUGGAGACCCAGAGCCGCCAUGUGGAGGAGCUGCUGGCGGACGCCGAGGAGAAGGAGCAGUUGAUGAGGAGCCUCCGCCAGGAGCUGGAGGAGACCAAGAAAGCCUUGGAAAUGGCCGACGCCGAGGGCCAGAGGCUGCGGGCUCUGCUGGGGCAGAGGGAGGCGGAGGGGCACCAUGCAGAAAGCCCCUCAAACACCUUGGAGGUGCGCGGAGGCAGCGAGACCUCAGAGGUCCCUCUGGUGUCGGCCCAGCUGCAGGGAGACAUGUUGAGCAUUGCGGAUGUUGGUCUAGCGGGACGUCUGCCCGAAGAGAAGCCGGUGCAGCCGGGAGUCCAGGAACAACUGGAGGCCUCUCUUGCCCAGCUUCAGCAGGAAAACCUGGUCCUGCGCAAGGAGCUGGCUACCUGGGAGGCCUGGCACCAGAAAAGAGGAGAGGAGGACACCACUGGCCCCUUGGGACUGGCUGGCUCAGGAAACGGCAGAGAAGCAGCCGAGACUGCAGAUGGUAAGGGGAGGGUGGGCAUAGAAUAUAGAGGGGAGAGAAUCCAAACUGGGGAAGGAAGAGAAGAGGAAUAUAGUGGUACCUCGGGUUAA
Molecule: long non-coding RNA, 1335 nt
Filed under: Podarcis muralis (Common wall lizard)
Lineage: Eukaryota; Metazoa; Chordata; Lepidosauria; Squamata; Lacertidae
Description: lncRNA (ENSPMRG00000017864.1)
Source: RNAcentral